This 497-nucleotide ribosomal RNA is filed under the name uncultured bacterium. Its description in RNAcentral is "partial 16S ribosomal RNA". It matches the Rfam family "Bacterial small subunit ribosomal RNA", at positions 28 to 507 of the family's 1533-position model. The record is from RNAcentral.
GAUGAACGCUGGCGGCGUGCCUAAUACAUGCAAGUCGAGCGAACAGACGAGGAGCUUGCUCCUCUGACGUUAGCGGCGGACGGGUGAGUACCACGUGGAUAACCUACCUAUAAGACUGGGAUAACUUCGGGAAACCGGAGCUAAUACCGGAUAAUAUAUUGAACCGCAUGGUUCAAUAGUGAAAGACGGUUUUGCUGUCACUUAUAGAUGGAUCCGCGCCGCAUUAGCUAGUUGGUAAGGUAACGGCUUACCAAGGCAACGAUGCGUAGCCGACCUGAGAGGGUGAUCGGCCACACUGGAACUGAGACACGGUCCAGACUCCUACGGGAGGCAGCAGUAGGGAAUCUUCCGCAAUGGGCGAAAGCCUGACGGAGCAACGCCGCGUGAGUGAUGAAGGUCUUCGGAUCGUAAAACUCUGUUAUUAGGGAAGAACAAAUGUGUAAGUAACUGUGCACGUCUUGACGGUACCUAAUCAGAAAGCCACGGCUAACUACGUG